AUUGAACGCUGGCGGCAUGCUUUACACAUGCAAGUCGAACGGACGCGCGGGCUUCGGCCUGGUGGCGUGUGGCCGACGGGCGAGUAAUGAAUAGGAACGUGCCCUGCCGUGGGGGCUAGCACGGCGACAGGAGGCUUAAUAUAGCAUCCGACGAGAGUGUGAAAGCGGGGGUUCGAAAGGGAUAGAGCUACUUGCUCGGACGAAGUGGUAUUAGCUAGUUGGUGAGGUAAAGGCUUACCAAGGCGACGAUCCGUAGCUGAGCUGAGAGGACGACCAGCCACACUGGGACUGAGACACGGCCCAGACUCCUACGGGAGGCAGCAGUAGGGAAUUUUGGGCAAUGGGGGCAACCCUGACCCAGCCACGCCGCGUGCGGGAAGAAGGCCUUCGGAUUGUAAACCGCUUUUAUUCGGGAAGAAAACCUCUGUACUAAUACCCCGGGAGGUUGACGGUACCUAAAGAGAAAGCACCGGCUAACUACGUG
RNAcentral lists this ribosomal RNA (484 nucleotides) under uncultured bacterium. Its description in RNAcentral is "partial 16S ribosomal RNA". It matches the Rfam family "Bacterial small subunit ribosomal RNA", at positions 29 to 507 of the family's 1533-position model. The record is from RNAcentral.